Molecule: ribosomal RNA, 434 nt
Filed under: Nocardiaceae bacterium 'ARUP UnID 473'
Lineage: Bacteria; Bacillati; Actinomycetota; Actinomycetes; Mycobacteriales; Nocardiaceae
Description: bacterial SSU rRNA
Rfam family: Bacterial small subunit ribosomal RNA
Source: RNAcentral
ACGAACGCUGGCGGCGUGCUUAACACAUGCAAGUCGAGCGGUAAGGCCCUUCGGGGUACACGAGCGGCGAACGGGUGAGUAACACGUGGGUGAUCUGCCUCGCACUCUGGGAUAAGCCUGGGAAACUGGGUCUAAUACCGGAUAUGACCAGGGAAUGCAUGUUCUYUGGUGGAAAGGUUUACUGGUGCGAGAUGGGCCCGCGGCCUAUCAGCUUGUUGGUGGGGUAACGGCCUACCAAGGCGACGACGGGUAGCCGACCUGAGAGGGUGACCGGCCACACUGGGACUGAGACACGGCCCAGACUCCUACGGGAGGCAGCAGUGGGGAAUAUUGCACAAUGGGCGAAAGCCUGAUGCAGCGACGCCGCGUGAGGGAUGACGGCCUUCGGGUUGUAAACCUCUUUCGACAGGGACGAAGYGCAAGUACGGUAACCU